CAGAAGUCGCGACACAAAACCUAGUGCACAGUCCAAGUUCUUAAGUGCCCUCACGUGGAAUGCGAUAUUUUUGAAAGUAUGCAAAAAAGGCAACCUUUGGUGCUUGUUUAAACAUAUACACAAUACCCUUUGCUGCAGGUUUAAAACUAUACACAACAACCUUCGCUGCAGGUUUAAAACUAUACACAACAACCUUCGCUGCAGGUUUAAAACUAUACACAACAACCUUCGCUGCAGGUUUAAAACUAUACACAACAACCUUCGCUGCAGGUUUAAAACUAUACACAACAACCUUCGCUGCAGAUUUCAAAAAAUAUGCACUGCAGCCUUUUUAAAAAACUGCAACAGCCUUUGCUGCA
RNAcentral lists this long non-coding RNA (359 nucleotides) under Dermacentor andersoni. Its description in RNAcentral is "uncharacterized LOC126526747". The record is from RNAcentral. Lineage: Eukaryota; Metazoa; Arthropoda; Arachnida; Ixodida; Ixodidae.